Molecule: ribosomal RNA, 470 nt
Filed under: uncultured Cochliobolus
Lineage: Eukaryota; Fungi; Ascomycota; Dothideomycetes; Pleosporales; Pleosporaceae
Description: eukaryotic LSU rRNA
Rfam family: 5.8S ribosomal RNA (bases 85-238)
Source: RNAcentral
GGUUCGCUCGCCACCAGGACCACAAUCUAAACCUUUUUUAUGCAGUUGCAAUCAGCGUCAGUAUAACAAAUGUAAAUCAUUUACAACUUUCAACAACGGAUCUCUUGGUUCUGGCAUCGAUGAAGAACGCAGCGAAAUGCGAUACGUAGUGUGAAUUGCAGAAUUCAGUGAAUCAUCGAAUCUUUGAACGCACAUUGCGCCCUUUGGUAUUCCAAAGGGCAUGCCUGUUCGAGCGUCAUUUGUACCCUCAAGCUUUGCUUGGUGUUGGGCGUUUUUGUCCUUGGGGUUUGCCCCAAAGACUCGCCUUAAAACGAUUGGCAGCCGGCCUACUGGUUUCGCAGCGCAGCACAUUUUUGCGCUUGCAAUCAGCAAAAGAGGACGGCAAUCCAUCAAGACUCCUUCUCACGUUUGACCUCGGAUCAGGUAGGGAUACCCGCUGAACUUAAGCAUAUCAAUAAGCGGAGGAAGGG